UACGGUGAAUAAAGGAUCAACAUUCUUCAACAUCUCUCGUCUUGGUGUUCUCCUGCGGGUCUUUGACAUCAGAGUGCUAAUUGGCUUGGAGGUUUUGGGAAGUGGUCGAUUUUCCACGACACUAGCCUUGCUGCUAAUAGCACUGCAGGAGCAGUGAGCAAGAAUCGCAGGUUGAUGCCUAACUUUAACGUUAGUCCAUUGGGCUAGUUUUUGCCCUGGUCCUCUGACAUCCAUCCGUGAACGGCGCUGCUAUUCACCGUCUGCUCGAAAAUAUUUCUCAGGACAGCUCUGCGAGAGAUCUGCCACUGCCGUGACCAAGGAACUGCUGCUGACCUGCGAGCUGCCAUGAUAGCAGCCUGCCCUGCAGUCUGGAUUGAGUAGCCUAGCUAACGUCGAAGAACUCUCACGAAACAACAAACUGUCACUGUCAAAGUCCACCGACCUGCUGAUCUGCAGGAUCGCCCAACUGUUCUGUGCUUUCAGUGCUCCCCAGACUGCCAGUAAUCUUCCUCCGACACAGCUGAGCGCCGUCGUCGUCAUCAUCGGGACAUCAGCCGGUUAGAUGCAACGGACUAUGUUAACAUGACAUUUUCUUUCAGUGCGUUUAGCAGAGUUUGUUUAUCAACAUAAGCCUUAUAUUUCACAUAUUGGUUUGUGUUAUGUUGUAGGCCUAGGCCUAAGCUUAGGCUAGCGGACACAGUGUUCUCUUGCCUUUUUAAAAUAAAAAACUGAAUUACAAAAACUGUAAUUCAAAAAAAUUUUGAAUUACAAAUUGUGUGGGUCUCAAUUGUCUGAUAGCUUAAAUAUGAAUCACAGACCAGGGCCAGAUGAGCCCCAGAUGUAGAAUAUGAGUCUGGACCAGAUCCGCACCAAAUGCCAUGGCAAUAUUAACUGUACGAUCUGUCUCUGAUCCGUAAUUUCAACCUGUUCCGGUAUUGGCCCGUUGGAAGAAAUGACCCCGGGGCAGGUCCGUUUAGAGGAUCUGCGCCAAUUAAGCUAAUGAAGAUCUGGACCAAAUCUGGCCAAAAUAUAUUUUGCUGUCUGGGUAUGCAUGCCGCUCCAAACUAAAUGCAUGUCUAAAGCCUGCCUCGAAUACCAGCCUGCCUCAAAUAAAGAUGAUGAUAAAUGAUU
Molecule: long non-coding RNA, 1131 nt
Organism: Alosa alosa (allis shad)
Lineage: Eukaryota; Metazoa; Chordata; Actinopteri; Clupeiformes; Clupeidae
Exons: 2
Source: RefSeq, a predicted model, not a curated record